This 476-nucleotide ribosomal RNA is filed under the name Daphnia magna. RNAcentral describes it as "partial 16S ribosomal RNA". It matches the Rfam family "Bacterial large subunit ribosomal RNA", at positions 1920 to 2614 of the family's 2925-position model. Lineage: Eukaryota; Metazoa; Arthropoda; Branchiopoda; Diplostraca; Daphniidae. The record is from RNAcentral.
UUUGUAAAUGGCCGCAGUAUUCUGACUGUGCUAAGGUAGCAUAAUCAUUAGUCUUUUAAUUGGAGGCUGGUAUGAAUGACGAGACGAGAAAAUAGCUGUCUCUAUAAUAAACUUUGAAUUUCAUUUCUGAGUGAAAAAGCUCAGAUAAUUUUGAAGGACGAUCAGACCCUUUGGAGCUUUAUUUACUUCAAAAAUUUGAAUUUGUUUUAAUUGAUUGAAUGGAAAGUAAAUUUUGUUGGGGCGACAGGGAGUAAAAUAUAACACUCUUUUUUUAAAACAAUCCUAAUUGGAAAAUUGAUCCUUAAAGUGAGAUUAUAAGACUAAGUUACCCUAGGGAUAACAGCGUAAUCUUUUUGGAGAGUUCAAAUCGAUAAAAAGGUUUGCGACCUCGAUGUUGGAUUAAGAGAUUGGCAAGGUGCAGAAGUUUUGCUGGAAAGUCUGUUCGACUUUUAAUCUCUUACAUGAUCUGAGUUCAA